RNAcentral lists this non-coding RNA (177 nucleotides) under Peptoniphilus asaccharolyticus. RNAcentral describes it as "T-box sequence". It matches the Rfam family "T-box leader". Rfam says of the family: Uncharged tRNA acts as the effector for transcription antitermination of genes in the T-box leader family. T-boxes are found upstream of many aminoacyl-tRNA synthetase genes and some amino acid biosynthetic genes usually in Gram-positive bacteria. The anticodon of a specific tRNA base pairs to a specifier sequence within the T-box motif, and the NCCA acceptor tail of the tRNA base pairs to a conserved bulge in the T-box antiterminator hairpin. Lineage: Bacteria; Bacillati; Bacillota; Tissierellia; Tissierellales; Peptoniphilaceae. The record is from RNAcentral.
GAAUAAGCAAUGAAGAGACAGUUAUAAACGGAGAGUUCAAAGAGAGCAUUCGGAUGGUGUGAGAAUGCAACUUUAGUUUAUGAAAUCAACUUGGAGCAAAAUGGUAUGUCUGCCUUAAAGACAUUGAGUGAUAGGACCUAUAAUAAGGGUGGUACCGCGGCGUAAGUCGUCCCUUAA